GAUGAACGCUGGCGGCGUGCCUAAUACAUGCCAGUCGAGCGAACAGACGAUGAGCUUGCUCCUCUGACGUUAGCGGCGGACGGGUGAGUAACACGUGGAUAACCUACCUAUAAGACUGGGAUAACUUCGGGAAACCGGAGCUAAUACCGGAUAAUAUAUUGAACCGCAUGGUUCAAUAGUGAAAGACGGUUUUGCUGUCACUUAUAGAUGGAUCCGCGCCGCAUUAGCUAGUUGGUAAGGUAACGGCUUACCAAGGCAACGAUGCGUAGCCGACCUGAGAGGGUGAGCGGCCACACUGGAACUGAGACACGGUCCAGACUCCUACGGGAGGCAGCAGUAGGGAAUCUUCCGCAAUGGGCGAAAGCCUGACGGAGCAACGCCGCGUGAGUGAUGAAGGUCUUCGGAUCGUAAAACUCUGUUAUUAGGGAAGAACAAAUGUGUAAGUAACUAUGCACGUCUUGACGGUACCUAAUCAGAAAGCCACGGCUAACUACGUG
RNAcentral lists this ribosomal RNA (497 nucleotides) under uncultured bacterium. RNAcentral's name for it is "partial 16S ribosomal RNA". It matches the Rfam family "Bacterial small subunit ribosomal RNA", at positions 28 to 507 of the family's 1533-position model. The record is from RNAcentral.